CCUACGGGAGGCAGCAGUGGGGAAUAUUGGGCAAUGGGCGCAAGCCUGACCCAGCAACGCCGCGUGAAGGAAGAAGGCUCUCGGGUUGUAAACUUCUUUUUAGAGGGAAGAGCAGAAGACGGUACCUCUUGAAUAAGCCACGGCUAACUACGUGCCAGCAGCCGCGGUAAUACGUAGGUGGCAAGCGUUGUCCGGAUUUACUGGGGGUAAAGGGCGUUCAGCCGGGAAGACAAGGCAGAUGUGAAAUCCCGCGGCUCAACCGCGGAACUGCAUUUGAAACUGUUUUUCUUGAGUACCGGAGAGGUCAUCGGAAUGCCUUGUGUAGCGGUGAAAUGCGUAGAUAUUAGGAGGAACACCGGUGGCGAAGGCAGCUUACUGGACUGUAACUGACGUUGAGGCUCGAAAGCGUGGGGAGCGAACAGGAUUAGAUACCCCAGUAGUC
Molecule: ribosomal RNA, 442 nt
Filed under: uncultured bacterium
Lineage: Bacteria
Description: partial 16S ribosomal RNA
Rfam family: Bacterial small subunit ribosomal RNA
Source: RNAcentral